AGCGAACGCUGGCGGCAGGCCUAACACAUGCAAGUCGAGCGGGCAUCGCAAGAUGUCAGCGGCAGACGGGAGAGUAACACGUGGGAACGUGCCCUUCAGUUCGGAACAACCCAGGGAAACUUGGGCUGAUACCGGAUACGUCCGUAAGGAGAAAGAUUUAUCGCUGAAGGAUCGGCCCGCGUCUGAUUAGCUAGUUGGUGGGGUAAUGGCCCACCAAGGCGACGAUCAGUAGCUGGUCUGAGAGGAUGAUCAGCCUCACUGGGACUGAGACACGGCCCAGACUCCUACGGGAGGCAGCAGUGGGGAAUAUUGGACAAUGGGCGCAAGCCUGAUCCAGCCAUGCCGCGUGGGUGAUGAAGGCCCUAGGGUUGUAAAGCCCUUUCGGCGGGGAAGAUAAUGACGGUACCCGCAGAAGAAGCCCCGGCUAACUUCGUGCCAGCAGCCGCGGUAAUACGAAGGGGGCUAGCGUUGCUCGGAAUCACUGGGCGUAAAGCGCACGUAGGCGGCUUCUUAAGUCAGGGGUGAAAUCCUGGAGCUCAACUCCAGAACUGCCUUUGAUACUGAGGGGCUUGAGUUCGGGAGAGGUGAGUGGAACUGCGAGUGUAGAGGUGAAAUUCGUAGAUAUUCGCAAGAACACCAGUGGCGAAGGCGGCUCACUGGCCCGGUACUGACGCUGAGGUGCGAAAGCGUGG
RNAcentral lists this ribosomal RNA (692 nucleotides) under uncultured bacterium. RNAcentral's name for it is "bacterial SSU rRNA". It matches the Rfam family "Bacterial small subunit ribosomal RNA", at positions 28 to 764 of the family's 1533-position model. The record is from RNAcentral.